Molecule: long non-coding RNA, 647 nt
Organism: Daphnia carinata
Lineage: Eukaryota; Metazoa; Arthropoda; Branchiopoda; Diplostraca; Daphniidae
Exons: 3
Source: RefSeq, a predicted model, not a curated record
CUACGUUAAGCAUCCAUAUUUUUGAAGAAAGUGAUGAUGGUUUGAUUCGCAGAGGAAUCGUUUAAUUUUCUUUUUUUCUCGUAUUCCCCGAAAGAAACUAACAAAUCCAAUUAGGAACGAACAGCACACAGGGUGUUGUCGAAGAGGAACACGUAGUCUAGAUUAUGAGAACAAAUUUGAAAUUCUAGACAAUGCUCUUGAGCAAUGUGUCCGUUGUAAGAUUUAUUUCCUAUAUUGGCAUAAUAGUAUUGUUAGAAAAUCAUGAAUUGUUUUCUUCCUUUUAGGUUUUUGACUUCGUUUAAUGUUGUGGCUGAAUGGACAAUGAGAGAUUGAAUCAACAACAUAUCAAGUGGGCAGCUCAUGGUCAAACUCGUUUGGCAUAAAGGGUUUGUUAGAUAAGGGUGGAGGCAGCUUUAACAAUUUAGAUCUAGCACCUAUUAGACUGGUGGUGUUGGCCCCGUGAAUCUUAUCGUCUUCAAGCUGGGUGAAAAAACAAUGAUUCAGUUGGUUUCGUGCAACAUCCUCACAAAAAUGGGACAAGACUUAACAAAAAGAGCAUAUAGAUGCAGUGUCAAACUGUACCAGUGAGUACCAGAGUAAUGUGACAAACAUUCAUGAUGGUGAUUAAUCUUCACACAGCUAACAUU